GAUGAACGCUGGCGGCGUGCCUAAUACAUGCAAGUCGAGCGAACAGACGAGGAGCUUGCACCUCUGACGUUAGCGGCGGACGGGUGAGUAACACGUGGAUAACCUACCUAUAAGACUGGGAUAACUUCGGGAAACCGGAGCUAAUACCGGAUAAUAUAUUGAACCGCAUGGUUCAAUAGUGAAAGACGGUUUUGCUGUCACUUAUAGAUGGAUCCGCGCCGCAUUAGCUAGUUGGUAAGGUAACGGCUUACCAAGGCAACGAUGCGUAGCCGACCUGAGAGGGUGAUCGGCCACACUGGAACUGAGACACGGUCCAGACUCCUACGGGAGGCAGCAGUAGGGAAUCUUCCGCAAAGGGCGAAAGCUUGACGGAGCAACGCCGCGUGAGUGAUGAAGGUCUUCGGAUCGUAAAACUCUGUUAUUAGGGAAGAACAAAUGUGUAAGUAACUAUGCACGUCUUGACGGUACCUAAUCAGAAAGCCACGGCUAACUACGUG
RNAcentral lists this ribosomal RNA (497 nucleotides) under uncultured bacterium. RNAcentral describes it as "partial 16S ribosomal RNA". It matches the Rfam family "Bacterial small subunit ribosomal RNA", at positions 28 to 507 of the family's 1533-position model. The record is from RNAcentral.